This is a long non-coding RNA of Eurytemora carolleeae, 372 nucleotides long. RefSeq lists it as uncharacterized. The transcript has 3 exons. The record is from RefSeq and is a predicted model, not a curated record. Lineage: Eukaryota; Metazoa; Arthropoda; Copepoda; Calanoida; Temoridae.
AUCUUGUUCUUUCCAAGCUGUAUACUAAUUAUAUGAAUGUUAGGCGCGCGAUUAAAGAGCCUGAUAUAAGAGUGCGCACUUUUCAAGACAUGUCAGUUUCCGUGCUCUGAGUCUGACCAGUGUAUUGAAAUAUUAAAAUGUGUAGAUUGUUUAGAUCAGACAAAGUGAAAAAUAUAAAACCAGCUGAAUACAGUUCGAAGAAGGAAUAACAAUGGAUAUAGGAAGGGAUGUAAUAACUAAGGCGAUUGCUAGUACUGAAGCUGAAAGUGUAUUUCAGCCCUGGUGGGUCACUGUACAACAUUAUAUGGUGUACACACUUUUAGCACUAGGUCUGAUCGCUCUGCCUGUAAACUGUAUGCUUGGUAACCUUGG